UGGGGAAUCUUAGACAAUGGGGGAAACCCUGAUCUAGCCAUGCCGCGUGAGUGACGAAGGCCCUAGGGUCGUAAACCUCUUUUCUUAGGGAAGAAGAAAGUGACGGUACCUAAGGAAUCAGCAUCGGCUAACUCCGUGCCAGCAGCCGCGGUAAUACGGAGGAUGCAAGCGUUAUCCGGAAUUAUUGGGCGUAAAGCGUCCGCAGGUGGCACUUCAAGUCUGCUGUCAAAGACCAGAGCUCAACUCUGGGCAGGCGGUGGAAACUGGGGAGCUAGAGUACGGUAGGGGUAGAGGGAAUUUCCAGUGUAGCGGUGAAAUGCGUAGAGAUUGGAAAGAACACCAGUGGCGAAGGCGCUCUACUGGACCUGUACUGACACUAAGGGACGAAAGCUAGGGGAGCGAAAGGGAUUAGAUACCCCCGUAGUCC
RNAcentral lists this ribosomal RNA (427 nucleotides) under uncultured prokaryote. RNAcentral describes it as "bacterial SSU rRNA". It matches the Rfam family "Bacterial small subunit ribosomal RNA", at positions 355 to 796 of the family's 1533-position model. The record is from RNAcentral.